CCUCCUCUGAGUUUCGGGUCAAAUGCCAAGGAGAGAUGCACACCCUCCAGAUGCUCCCAGCUCCAUAGAGAAGGCAGACAUCUUCCUGUGGCUCUUCCAUGCCUCUUCUUACUAGUAUGUCUGGCUCUACAGGCCGUGGGUGUCAGAAGCUGGGGUCCUAGGCUCUCCCC
Molecule: long non-coding RNA, 170 nt
Organism: Myotis lucifugus (little brown bat)
Lineage: Eukaryota; Metazoa; Chordata; Mammalia; Chiroptera; Vespertilionidae
Exons: 3
Source: RefSeq, a predicted model, not a curated record